RNAcentral lists this non-coding RNA (27 nucleotides) under Mus musculus (house mouse). Lineage: Eukaryota; Metazoa; Chordata; Mammalia; Rodentia; Muridae. The record is from RNAcentral.
UUGCACUCCAGUCGAGCCAGGUAAAUG